This is a long non-coding RNA of Zea mays, 1424 nucleotides long. RefSeq lists it as uncharacterized. NCBI's taxonomy places the organism in Eukaryota, Viridiplantae, Streptophyta, Magnoliopsida, Poales, Poaceae. The record is from RefSeq and is a predicted model, not a curated record. The transcript is spliced from 3 exons.
UUUAGCUCCUGCGAUCCAAACAGGCCCUUAAACCUCUUUUCGCUCAGUCUAGUUAAAUGUGUCCUAGAUGUGGCACACCUUAAACAAUUAUUAUAUAGAUACAUUGGCAGCACUAUGCAUAGUUUUUUGUUAUUUUAUUUCUGUUGCUAUUCACUGUCUGGACUCUGGACUAAUAUCUUCAAAAUGCAAACAGAGGAUAGAGGUUUACGAAUAUGCGAAGGUGCUUGGUAAUUCUCAAUAUAUCCUACUAUCCUUUCAGCCAUAUAAGCUGAUAUAUGCAUACAUGCUUGUGGAAGUGGGGAAAGUUUCUGAUUCUUUGAGGUAUUGCCAGGCGUCUAUAAAGGUACUGAAAGCCUCUGGUCGUGCCCCUGAAUUGGAGGUUUGGAAACAAUUAUUUUCUUCGCUGGAGGAGAGGAUACACACUCACCAGCAGGUAUGACCAUGCCAUUUGGCAAAAAUAUCCAAGAUAACCAAACAGUUCUUUUGGAAAUCAACCAAUUCACCUUCCUCUACACAAAAUUAUUUAAGCAGCAUUAAAAAAUAGUUUAAGCAAAACAUGUUUCAAUAUGCAACUGUAUUGUUUACAGAAGGCCAGCGCCACUUGUUUGAAUUGUUUAAGCAAAACAUGUUUCAAUAUGCAACUGUAUUCAAUAUGCAGAGAUUGGAAGGUGAAUGAAACUGUUAGUGUUGUUGCCAAUAAAACUGCAGAGAUUGGAAGCAAGACCUGGGGGAUCAUGAGAGGAGUUAUGGCAAUGGCCUCACAAAAGGUCGAGGAAUAUACUGAGCGGCUGGGGAGAGGAUUGGCAACGCAGCGAGCAGAACGGUGAGCCUUACCAAAGUUCUUGGGACGAUUGGGACGACCAAGGCAAGAAGGGUGAACCUGCGAAACCGCACCAAAGCAGUUACUCCUGGGCUGGCUAGGAUGAUGGGAAGGACGAUGGUUUUGAUAGUCCUGGUUACAACAACCACAACAGCUCUAACAAGGGGAGCAACCACAACGGGACUUCCGGUGGCUCAUUUUGGAGGCGAGGCCCAUUCGAUGCAGGGAGUCCGACGCGUUCACCGGAGAAUAGGAGCAGUGCCACGAGGCAGACGCGCCAACUGAUCUGCUGCAUCGGGCCGCUCCCACCCCGUCGCGGCUCGUGCCGCACCGCGCGACCGUAACAGAGGGCGCCGGUGUGUGGCGUCCCCAACGGCGCGCCUCGACGCAGACGCGACGGCGGAUCUAGGGCCACCGAUGCACCGCCACCCGACCUCGAUGCGACGAUGAUGGCGCACGACGACAUCAGUCGACGGAGUUGGUGUGGCCCUUCGGCCUGCCUUACGCACGGAGGCCCCCGCGCGGUAACCAGAGAGGAAGAGCGGCGCCGCGAUGACAGCUCGCCCCGCCUGCUCCCACCCCGCACGCGGCUGCGAUUGGGAAC